Molecule: ribosomal RNA, 254 nt
Filed under: uncultured bacterium
Lineage: Bacteria
Description: partial 16S ribosomal RNA
Rfam family: Bacterial small subunit ribosomal RNA
Source: RNAcentral
UACGUAGGGUGCGAGCGUUGUCCGGAUUUACUGGGCGUAAAGGGCGCGUAGGCGGCCACCGCAAGUCGACUGUGAAAUCUCCGGGCUUAACCCGGAAAGGUCAGCCGAUACUGCGGGGCUAGAGUGCAGAAGGGGCAACUGGAAUUCUCGGUGUAGCGGUGAAAUGCGUAGAUAUCGAGAGGAACACCUGCGGCGAAGGCGGGUUGCUGGGCUGAUACUGACGCUGAGGCGCGAAAGCCAGGGGAGCGAACGGG